GGCCCUGUAGCGCAAUGGAUAGCGCGUUGGACUUCUAAUCCGAAGGACGUGGGUUCAAGUCCCACUUAGGAUG
Trichonephila inaurata madagascariensis is the source of this 73-nucleotide non-coding RNA. The record is from the annotation of a GenBank genome assembly. Lineage: Eukaryota; Metazoa; Arthropoda; Arachnida; Araneae; Nephilidae.